Molecule: RNase P RNA, 252 nt
Filed under: uncultured archaeon SL1-1
Lineage: Archaea
Description: partial RNase P RNA
Rfam family: Archaeal RNase P
About the family: Ribonuclease P (RNase P) is a ubiquitous endoribonuclease, found in archaea, bacteria and eukarya as well as chloroplasts and mitochondria. Its best characterised activity is the generation of mature 5'-ends of tRNAs by cleaving the 5'-leader elements of precursor-tRNAs.
Source: RNAcentral
GAGGAAAGUCCACCCACCACUGGACACACAGACAUUUCCCCAAGGAUGUAGGGCGAGAGCUCUGGCUCUGGCACAGAAACAAGACCGCACCGCGUCAAAGCGAUGAUGCCGUAAGGCUGAGGUCGCGCGGGAGGCGGAUGAAACGGCGAAACCCUGUGGGUGCAAGCCAAAAUAGAGCUGAGAACGCGGACGUCCAGCCGAGCUCGGGUAUGGCGCUAAGCUGAAUGCCGUCAAAGAACAGAAGCGGGCUUA